RNAcentral lists this unclassified non-coding RNA (2962 nucleotides) under Hevea brasiliensis (rubber tree). The record is from RNAcentral. Lineage: Eukaryota; Viridiplantae; Streptophyta; Magnoliopsida; Malpighiales; Euphorbiaceae.
AUUCAGAUUUUCAUUUUACAAGUGGGGUGGUGGAUGACAAUCAACAUAAGGAGCCUGUUUAUGAUUCAAGCCCCCAAGCAGUUGACAAGUUCCUCUCUUUAUUGUCAAUCUCGUCUGAUACACAAGGCGUGACAUCAGAAAUGGGUUCGCCUCCAGCAUUAGCUGAAUUUUCUGGUAAAGAAUCUGAAGUGCAUACUGAGAACAUGGGGAAAAAUACUUCUGGCCACAAAAAGACGCAUGAAGGCUCCUCAAAAGAACAAUCAUUAGAUGAAAAUGAAUCAAGAUCAAGGGAAGUUACAGAAAUUGAACUUGAUGUUGCGAAGGUUGGGCUGUCGGGAGAUGAUCUAGCAUUUGAUUUUCAAGAUGGUAAAAUUGGGUUUAUGAAGUCAGAAUUGGUGGUUGAGCAUAAUGCAGCUGAUUCACCUCCAUCUUCAUCAAACAAUGGAUCUGUGAAGGUGGAUCUAGAAUACGAGGAAGAAAGCUCCGAUCAUGAACUGGAGGAACUGCACCUGUCAAGUCCUAACGCUGAAAUAAUUGUUGGGGUUCACCAAGAUGUAAUUGAUAAGUUGGAUUCUGCCUCUUUUGAUAAUCAGAUUGCUUCUGAAGAGACAAUUUUGCAUGCACUAGAGGAACAACAUCCUUCAGUUGCAGUUGAUGUUUCAGUGGACUCCAAAUUAUCUUCUUCAGAGUCUGAAUAUGUAGAGGAGCAUGCAAUGCUUAUGGAAGGCGUUUCACAGCCUAAAUGGGAAGGAGGCCAAUCAUCAGGUUUUGAUGCAGAGGUCCAUGCUUACAGUUUAGUGGCUUCAAGCUUUGAGCAUAUACCUUCUAAUUAUUUAAAUUUGUCUGAAAAUGAUGAAAGACAGCUUGCAGUGGUGGCUGAGCAAGUUUUAGAGGCUCAUACGCAUGCAUCCUCUUCAGAGAUUAAGCAUUUGGAGGAGCUUUCAUUGAGGAGGGAAGAAGAUCUCCGGCAUUCAUCAAGUUCUGAUGCAAUGAUUGGUGAUGACCUCCUUCAAGACGCAGAUGUGAAGCUUGUUUCUUCAGGUUCUAGUUAUCAGCACGUGCCUUUAGAGGCAAAAUCUCCCUAUGAAGUGGAGAAACAGCUGUCUUGGUCAGAUAUUUCUGUUGUUGAACCAUCCAUAAAUGAUGAUGAUGAUGAUAAAUCCCAGGAACCGUCUGUCACCCUGGCAGAGUCAACAGCAGGAGUGAACGUUGCCAACAACUUACAUGUGCCUGAAGUCUUCAAUCAUGAGGCAUCUGAAUCUGCUUCAGUCCCACCAGAGAGUCUAGAGUACAAAUUGAAGGUUGAUGAAGUUGAUUUUAAAGACAAUAUCCUCGAUAAAAUUCUCUAUGAGGACUUAGAACACCCUGACUAUUCAGUAGAAACGCACUGGUCUUCUGUUGCUGAGGGAAAUAUUAAUGAGGAUGGAGAUGAGGUAAAGGAGAUUGAUGAGGGAUUGUUGUCAGAACUGGACACAGUUGGGGACUUUAGUGUCAAAGAAGUGGUUGGUGAGUCACUUCAUGAUGAACACAUACCAGGACAAACUAGCACCGUGAUUCCUGAAUACAAUUUGUUAUCAAUAGAUAGAAGUGUGCCAGAGAUUAAACCAGAACUCCCAGUCCUUGAACUUAGAUCAGUUACAGAUAUUGACUUGGCAUUCAAGCAACUUCAUGAAGGAGUAGAUGUUGAGGAGGUCAUCCUUCCAAGUAUGAUUGAGGAUCAACCAGUUGUUGAUAAAGGCCCUGGUGAAACCAACUCAGAAUUGCGAGUUGUUGAAGCAAGAUCUUUGGACGAUCUUCAUGUGGCUAUGAAGCAAGCCUCAGAAGGGAACAUUGAAGAGAUGUCGAAACUGUCUGAUUCAAUGGGAGGGCCAGCAGGACUAAACGAAGUGGGUUCUAGCAGUUCUACAAAGGAGCUCCCAAUUCUUGAAGUUAGAACGAUCAAUGAUAUUGACCUGGCCUUCAAGCAACUUAACGAAGGUGCAGAUGUUGAGGAGGUAAUCCUUCCCAGCACAAUUGAACAGCAUCUAGCAAAUAAUGAAUCCAGAAACCCUCAACAAUCUAGUUUUGACCUGCAAGUUAUUGAAGCAAGAUCUCUGGAAGAUCUUCAUGUGGCCAUGAAGAAAGCUUCAGAAGAACAUAUCAAAGAUAGGUCAAAACCAUCAGAUUUAAACAAAGGGCAAGCAGAAGUAAAUGACGUGGGUUUUAGCAGUUCUACCAAGGAGCUUCCAGUUCUUGAAGUUGGAACAGUUGAUGAUAUUGACCUGCCUUUCAAUCAACCCAAAAAUGGUGCAGAGGUUACCAGCACAAUUGAGCAGCAUCUAGUUGUGAAUGAAUCCAGAGAUCCUCUACAUUCUAGUUCAGAUUUGCAAGAUCUUGAUAAUGCCAUGAAGGAAGUUUCAGAGGUUACUAUUGAGCAGCUGCCAAAAUCAUCAGAUCCAAUCAAAGAGAUAUCAAGGACUUCAGAGGCAAAUGAAAUGGGUCCCAUCAAGGACAUUGAACCAAGUAACGUAGAAGCAACUGAAGCAGGCAUUAUCCAGGAGAGAGUGGAUCAAGUGCUGUAGAGCUUGAUUCUCAAGAAACGAGUGCUGGGUUUCUGGGCGAACCAAAGCUUUGAUUUGAUGAAACAUCUGGAAUUUCAAGUUUGAACAUAUCAGAUGAAAAGGUAAGAAUGCAAAAUCUCUUAGAUUGAGCUCUAGUUCCAGCUCUAGUUCAAGCUUCACUGAUACAGGUUGAAAAAGAGAAUUGCCAGAGAGUAAGCGAAAGAAGUUUUGUGGUUUUGAGUUUUCCUUUGAUAUGGUUUACUUCUGCUAUCAUCAGCCUUUUGUUUCCAUAGUCUGGUUUUCUAUGUUGUUUUCAUUAUUGAUAGUUGGUUUUUGUUUGCCUUUUCAAUUGAUUGACCUCUUCAAGAAUGAGUUUUGGUUUGACUUCUUGAAGUGUGAUUGUUAUUAUUAUUAUUAUUUUU